Molecule: ribosomal RNA, 468 nt
Filed under: uncultured bacterium
Lineage: Bacteria
Description: partial 16S ribosomal RNA
Rfam family: Bacterial small subunit ribosomal RNA
Source: RNAcentral
GACGAACGCUGGCGGCGUGCUUAACACAUGCCAGUCGAACGGAAAGGCCCUGCUUUUGUGGGGUGCUCGAGUGGCGAACGGGUGAGUAACACGUGAGUAACCUGCCCUUGACUUUGGGAUAACUUCAGGAAACUGGGGCUAAUACCGGAUAGGAGCUCUUGCUCCAUGGUGGGGGUUGGAAAGUUUCGGCGGUUGGGGAUGGACUCGCGGGUUAUCGGCUUGUUUGUGUGGUAGUGGCUUACCAAGGCUUUGACGGGUAGCCGGCCUGGGAGGGUUACCGGGCACCUUGGGCCUGAGAUACGCACCAGUAUGCUACGGGAGGCAGCAGUGGGGAGUAUUGCACAGUGGGCGGAAGCCUGAUGCAGAGGCGCCGGGUGCGGGAUGACGGCCUUCGGGUUGUGAACCGCUUUCGCAUGUGACGAGGCGUGAGUGACGGUAACGGGUAAAGAAGCACCGGCUAACUACGUG